RNAcentral lists this ribosomal RNA (253 nucleotides) under uncultured bacterium. RNAcentral's name for it is "partial 16S ribosomal RNA". It matches the Rfam family "Bacterial small subunit ribosomal RNA", at positions 524 to 776 of the family's 1533-position model. The record is from RNAcentral.
UACGUAGGGGGCAAGCGUUGUCCGGAUUUAUUGGGCGUAAAGAGCGUGUAGGCGGCCAGAUAGGUCCGUUGUGAAAACUGGAGGCUUAACCUCCAGCGGUCGAUGGAAACCAUCUGGCUAGAGUCCGGGAGAGGAGAGUGGAAUUCCUGGUGUAGCGGUGAAAUGCGCAGAUAUCAGGAAGAACACCCGUGGCGAAAGCGGCUCUCUGGAACGGUACUGACGCUGAGACGCGAAAGCGUGGGGAGCGAACAGG